UACGUAGGGCGCAAGCGUUGUCCGGAAUUAUUGGGCGUAAAGAGCUCGUAGGCGGCUUGUCGCGUCGGUUGUGAAAGCCCGGGGCUUAACUCCGGGUCUGCAGUCGAUACGGGCAGGCUAGAGUUCGGUAGGGGAGAUCGGAAUUCCUGGUGUAGCGGUGAAAUGCGCAGAUAUCAGGAGGAACACCGGUGGCGAAGGCGGAUCUCUGGGCCGAUACUGACGCUGAGGAGCGAAAGCGUGGGGAGCGAACAGG
RNAcentral lists this ribosomal RNA (253 nucleotides) under uncultured bacterium. RNAcentral describes it as "partial 16S ribosomal RNA". It matches the Rfam family "Bacterial small subunit ribosomal RNA", at positions 524 to 776 of the family's 1533-position model. The record is from RNAcentral.